RNAcentral lists this ribosomal RNA (1391 nucleotides) under Sphingobacterium alimentarium. RNAcentral describes it as "bacterial SSU rRNA". It matches the Rfam family "Bacterial small subunit ribosomal RNA". The record is from RNAcentral. Lineage: Bacteria; Pseudomonadati; Bacteroidota; Sphingobacteriia; Sphingobacteriales; Sphingobacteriaceae.
AGUCGGACGGGAUCUAGAUCUAAGCUUGCUUAGAUUUAGUGAGAGUGGCGCACGGGUGCGUAACGCGUGAGCAACCUACCCAUAUCAGGGGGAUAGCCCGGAGAAAUCCGGAUUAACACCGCAUGACACAACGACUCGGCAUCGAGAUGUUGUUAAAUAUUUAUAGGAUAUGGAUGGGCUCGCGUGACAUUAGCUAGUUGGUAAGGUAACGGCUUACCAAGGCUACGAUGUCUAGGGGCUCUGAGAGGAGAAUCCCCCACACUGGUACUGAGACACGGACCAGACUCCUACGGGAGGCAGCAGUAAGGAAUAUUGGUCAAUGGAGGGAACUCUGAACCAGCCAUGCCGCGUGCAGGAUGACUGCCCUAUGGGUUGUAAACUGCUUUUGUCCAGGAAUAACCACCACUACGUGUAGUGGCUUGAAUGUACUGGAAGAAUAAGGAUCGGCUAACUCCGUGCCAGCAGCCGCGGUAAUACGGAGGAUCCGAGCGUUAUCCGGAUUUAUUGGGUUUAAAGGGUGCGUAGGCGGCUCAUUAAGUCAGGGGUGAAAGACGGCAGCUCAACUGUCGCAGUGCCUUUGAUACUGAUGAGCUUGAAUGUGGUUGAAGAUGGCGGAAUGAGACAAGUAGCGGUGAAAUGCAUAGAUAUGUCUCAGAACUCCGAUUGCGAAGGCAGCUGUCUAAGUCAUUAUUGACGCUGAUGCACGAAAGCGUGGGGAUCGAACAGGAUUAGAUACCCUGGUAGUCCACGCCCUAAACGAUGAUAACUCGAUGUUGGCGAUACACAGUCAGCGUCUUAGCGAAAGCGUUAAGUUAUCCACCUGGGGAGUACGCCCGCAAGGGUGAAACUCAAAGGAAUUGACGGGGGCCCGCACAAGCGGAGGAGCAUGUGGUUUAAUUCGAUGAUACGCGAGGAACCUUACCCGGGCUUGAAAGUUACUGAAUUAUCUAGAGAUAGAUAAGUCCUUCGGGACAGGAAACUAGGUGCUGCAUGGCUGUCGUCAGCUCGUGCCGUGAGGUGUUGGGUUAAGUCCCGCAACGAGCGCAACCCCUAUGUUUAGUUGCCAGCAUGUAAUGAUGGGGACUCUAAACAGACUGCCAGCGUAAGCUGUGAGGAAGGUGGGGACGACGUCAAGUCAUCAUGGCCCUUACGUCCGGGGCUACACACGUGCUACAAUGGAUGGUACAGCGGGCAGCUACCUGGUAACAGGAUGCUAAUCUCGAAAAGCCAUUCACAGUUCGGAUUGAGGUCUGCAACUCGACCUCAUGAAGUUGGAUUCGCUAGUAAUCGCGUAUCAGCAAUGACGCGGUGAAUACGUUCCCGGGCCUUGUACACACCGCCCGUCAAGCCAUGAAAGUUGGGGGUGCCUAAAGCAUGUAACCGCAAGGAGC